RNAcentral lists this ribosomal RNA (480 nucleotides) under uncultured bacterium. RNAcentral describes it as "bacterial SSU rRNA". It matches the Rfam family "Bacterial small subunit ribosomal RNA", at positions 28 to 507 of the family's 1533-position model. The record is from RNAcentral.
GACGAACGCUGGCGGCAUGCCUAACACAUGCAAGUCGAACGGAACUUAUUGAAUGAAGUUUUCGGAUGGAUUUUGGUAAGUUUAGUGGCGGACGGGUGAGUAACGCGUGAGCAACCUGCCUUUCAGAGGGGGACAACAGUUGGAAACGACUGCUAAUACCGCAUAACGUAUUUCGGAGGCAUCUCUGAGAUACCAAAGAUUAUAUCGCUGAAAGAUGGGCUCGCGUACGAUUAGAUAGUUGGUGAGGUAACGGCUCACCAAGUCGACGAUCGUUAGCCGGACUGAGAGGUUGAACGGCCACAUUGGGACUGAGACACGGCCCAGACUCCUACGGGAGGCAGCAGUGAGGAAUAUUGGGCAAAUGGGCGCAAGCCUGACCCAGCAAUGCCGCGUGAAGGAAGACGGUUUUCGGAUUGUAAACUCUUUUAAGAGGGACGAUAAUGACGGUACCUCUUGAAUAAGCAACGGCUAAACUACGUG